Molecule: ribosomal RNA, 468 nt
Filed under: uncultured bacterium
Lineage: Bacteria
Description: partial 16S ribosomal RNA
Rfam family: Bacterial small subunit ribosomal RNA (bases 58-468)
Source: RNAcentral
GGGGGGGGGGGGGGGGGGGGGGGGGGGGGGGGGGGCGGGGGGGGGGGGGGGGGGGGGGGGGGGGGCUGGGGGGGGGGGCGGGGGAGGGACACGUGAGUGACCUGCCCUGGACUUUGGGAUGGCUUCAGGAAGCUGGGGCUAAUGCCGGAUGGGAGCGCCUGCUGCAUGGUGGGGGUUGGACAGUUGCGGCGGUUGGGGAUGGACGCGCCGCUUAUGAGCGUGUUGGUGGGGUAGUGGCUUACCAAGGCUUUGACGGGUAGCCGGCCUGAGAGGGUGACCGGCCACAUUGGGACUGAGAUACGGCCCAGACUCCUACGGGAGGCAGCAGUGGGGAAUAUUGAACAAUGGGCGGAAGCCUGAUGCAGCAACGCCGCGUGCGGGAUGACGGCCUUCGGGUUGUAAACCGCUUUCGCCUGUGACGAAGCGUGAGUGACGGUAAUGGGUAAAGAAGCACCGGCUAACUACGUG